Molecule: ribosomal RNA, 520 nt
Filed under: uncultured microorganism
Description: bacterial SSU rRNA
Rfam family: Bacterial small subunit ribosomal RNA
Source: RNAcentral
GAGUUUGAUCGUGGCUCAGGAUGAACGCUGGCGGCGUGCCUAAUACAUGCAAGUCGAGCGAACGGACGAGAAGCUUGCUUCUCUGAUGUUAGCGGCGGACGGGUGAGUAACACGUGGAUAACCUACCUAUAAGACUGGGAUAACUUCGGGAAACCGGAGCUAAUACCGGAUAAUAUUUUGAACCGCAUGGUUCAAAAGUAAAAGACGGUCUUGCUGUCACUUAUAGAUGGAUCCGCGCUGCAUUAGCUAGUUGGUAAGGUAACGGCUUACCAAGGCAACGAUGCAUAGCCGACCUGAGAGGGUGAUCGGCCACACUGGAACUGAGACACGGUCCAGACUCCUACGGGAGGCAGCAGUAGGGAAUCUUCCGCAAUGGGCGAAAGCCUGACGGAGCAACGCCGCGUGAGUAAUGAAGGUCUUCGGAUCGUAAAACUCUGUUAUUAGGGAAGAACAUAUGUGUAAGUAACUGUGCACAUCUUGACGGUACCUAAUCAGAAAGCCACGGCUAACUACGUGCCAC